Molecule: non-coding RNA, 831 nt
Organism: Gambusia affinis (western mosquitofish)
Lineage: Eukaryota; Metazoa; Chordata; Actinopteri; Cyprinodontiformes; Poeciliidae
Source: the annotation of a RefSeq genome assembly
GUUCCCUGCAGACCAUUAAUGCCCCUUUUCCACUUGUACCUGCUCAACUUGAUUCUACUUGGUUACCAGGAUUUGAUGCGAGGGUUAGAGUAGGAUUAGGACCAGAGACUGGUACCUUGCUGGGGUUCAAAACACUAGGGACGGGGCUGAAAACGUGACAUCAGAAGACCAGUUUCUGAUCGACUAGAAGGAGGAGUCACUGGUUUUGUCACAAGAGAGACUCCCUCACAAGAACCAGAUCCGACUCAAGAGUGUAUUUUGGAGCUCAGUCCAACACAAAACCUCCCCAAAUGCUCAUCACUUCCUGUCUCUCCUUCAAGGUAAAGACACAGCUGGUUUCUGGCAUUCAACAUGAAGCCAUCUCUCGUCUUCAUCACCAUCGCCUUCUGGAUUGAAGGAGUCUACCUCAGCAAAGAAAAGCAAGUGUCUCAGUUUCCGGCGGACGUUCUGGUCCGACCGAACAACAAAGUCAACCUGACCUUCACUCAUUCGAUCCCGAGCUACGACACAAUCCUGUGGUAUCAGCGCUCACCGGGAGAAACUUCCCUGAAGCUGAUCGGCUACGUCUACUAUACAACCGUUAAUAUGGAGUCGGGUUUUGAACGGCACUUUCAGAUAAGCGGAGAUGGAGAGAAGUCAGCUCAUCUUCUCAACCUGAACCCGAGACACCCUGAAGACAGCGGAGAAUAUUUUGGGGCCACACGUAUAGACACAGCAUUAAAAGAGAGUGACUCUGCCAUACAAAAACCUUCAGAGUAAUCCAGCUGGCAACCGCAGCCCAGCAGGAAACCAGAGGCAUGUGACAGCAAAUGAAAGCUGAAGGGAAAAAUG